This 447-nucleotide ribosomal RNA is filed under the name uncultured bacterium. RNAcentral describes it as "SSU rRNA". It matches the Rfam family "Bacterial small subunit ribosomal RNA", at positions 26 to 518 of the family's 1533-position model. The record is from RNAcentral.
AGAGCGAACGCUGGCGGCAGGCCUAACACAUGCAAGUCGAGCGCCCGUAGCAAUACGGGAGCGGCAGACGGGAUAGUAACACGUGGGAACGCGCCCUUCGGUUCGGAAUAACUCAGGGAAACUUGAGUUAAUACCGGAUACGCCCUUACGGGGAAAGAUUUAUUGCCGAAGGAACGGCCCGCGUCCGAUUAGCUAGUUGGUGAGGUAAUGGCUCACCAAGGCUACGAUCGGUAGCUGGUCUGAGAGGAUGACCAGCAUCACUGGGACUGAGACACGGCCCAGACUCCUACGGGAGGCAGCAGUGGGGAAUAUUGGACAAUGGGCGCAAGCCUGAUCCAGCCAUGCCGCGUGGAUGAUGAAGGCCUUAGGGUUGUAAAGUCCUUUUAACGGGGAAGAUAAUGACGGUACCCGUAGAAUAAGCCCGGCUAACUUCGUGCCAGCAGCCGC